CUUGUUCUAAUAAAUUUGAGAUCAAAGAAAUAUGGUAUCUGAAGUUUAUGGAGCAGGGAGGUUUAGCUCUCUGUCCUACAGACAGAACACUUUAUUCCCUUGCAUAAUUGGGUGAUAAAUCUUCUGUCUUUUGGGAAUGGUGGCUGUAUGUUGUGUUUAGCAUUUGCUUGAGCCUUAAGUACGUGAACAGGUCUCUGGGGGGGGG
This is a non-coding RNA of Pelobates cultripes (western spadefoot toad), 205 nucleotides long. Lineage: Eukaryota; Metazoa; Chordata; Amphibia; Anura; Pelobatidae. The record is from the annotation of a GenBank genome assembly.